GACGAACGCUGGCGGCGUGCUUAACACAUGCAAGUCGAACGGAGUGGCGAACGGGUGAGUAACACGCGGGUUAUCUGCCCCGCACUUCGGGAUAAGCUUGGGAAACUGGGUUUAAUACCCGACAGCGCAGGAUGAGCUCGGGGCCUAUCAGCUUGUUGGUGGGGUAAUGGCCUACCAUGGCGUCGACGGGUGGCCGGCCUGGGAGGGUGUACGGCCACAUUGGGACUGGGGUACGGCCCAGACGCAUACGGGAGGCAGCAGUGGGGAAUAUUGCUCGAUGAGCGGAAGCAUGAUGGAGCGACGCCGCGUGGGGAAGAAAGGCCAUCGGGUUGUAAACUCCUUUCGACGGGGACGCGGUACCUGAAUAAAAAGCACCGGCUAACUACGUGCCAGCAGCCGCGGUAAUUC
This 408-nucleotide ribosomal RNA is filed under the name uncultured bacterium. RNAcentral's name for it is "partial 16S ribosomal RNA". It matches the Rfam family "Bacterial small subunit ribosomal RNA", at positions 28 to 526 of the family's 1533-position model. The record is from RNAcentral.